Molecule: ribosomal RNA, 518 nt
Filed under: uncultured Glomus
Lineage: Eukaryota; Fungi; Glomeromycota; Glomeromycetes; Glomerales; Glomeraceae
Description: SSU rRNA
Rfam family: Eukaryotic small subunit ribosomal RNA
Source: RNAcentral
AGCAGCCGCGGUAAUUCCAGCUCCAAUAGCGUAUAUUAAAGUUGUUGCAGUUAAAAAGUUCGUAGUUGAAUUUCGGGAUCAGUACGCUGGUCAUGCCUUUGGUAUGCACUGGUGUCACUGGUUUCUCCCUUCUGAAGAUCCGUGAUGUCAUUAAUUUGGUGUCGCGGGGAAUCAGGACUGUUUGAAAAAAUUAGAGUGUUUAAAGCAGGCUCACGCUUGAAUACAUUAGCAUGGAAUAAUGAAAUAGGACGUUUGACCCUAUUUUGUUGGUUUCUAGGAUCGACGUAAUGAUUAAUAGGGAUAGUUGGGGGCAUUAGUAUUCAAUUGUCAGAGGUGAAAUUCUUGGAUUUAUUGAAGACUAACUACUGCGAAAGCAUUUGCCAAGGAUGUUUUCAUUAAUCAAGAACGAAAGUUAGGGGAUCGAAGACGAUCAGAUACCGUCGUAGUCUUAACCAUAAACUAUGCCGACUAGGGAUCGGAUGAUGUUAAUUUUAUAAUGACUCAUUCGGCGCCUUAAC